This 497-nucleotide ribosomal RNA is filed under the name uncultured bacterium. Its description in RNAcentral is "partial 16S ribosomal RNA". It matches the Rfam family "Bacterial small subunit ribosomal RNA", at positions 28 to 507 of the family's 1533-position model. The record is from RNAcentral.
GAUGAUCGCUGGCGGCGUGCCUAAUACAUGCAAGUCGAGCGAACGGACGAGAAGCUUGCUUCUCUGAUGUUAGCGGCGGACGGGUGAGUAACACGUGGAUAACCUACCUAUAAGACUGGGAUAACUUCGGGAAACCGGAGCUAAUACCGGAUAAUAUUUUGAACCGCAUGGUUCAAAAGUGAAAGACGGUUUUGCUGUCACUUAUAGAUGGAUCCGCGCUGCAUUAGCUAGUUGGUAAGGUAACGGCUUACCAAGGCAACGAUGCAUAGCCGACCUGAGAGGGUGAUCGGCCACACUGGAACUGAGACACGGUCCAGACUCCUACGGGAGGCAGCAGUAGGGAAUCUUCCGCAAUGGGCGAAAGCCUGACGGAGCAACGCCGCGUGAGUGAUGAAGGUCUUCGGAUCGUAAAACUCUGUUAUUAGGGAAGAACAUAUGUGUAAGUAACUGUGCACAUCUUGACGGUACCUAAUCAGAAAGCCACGGCUAACUACGUG